CAUGACUCCGCGUAUUGAAAUGUC
Molecule: non-coding RNA, 24 nt
Filed under: Arabidopsis thaliana (thale cress)
Lineage: Eukaryota; Viridiplantae; Streptophyta; Magnoliopsida; Brassicales; Brassicaceae
Source: RNAcentral